CAGCAGCCGCGGGAAUACAGAGGGUGCAAGCGUUAAUCGGAAUUACUGGGCGUAAAGCGCGCGUAGGUGGUUUGUUAAGUUGGAUGUGAAAUCCCCGGGCUCAACCUGGGAACUGCAUCCAAAACUGGCAAGCUAGAGUAUGGUAGAGGGUGGUGGAAUUUCCUGUGUAGCGGUGAAAUGCGUAGAUAUAGGAAGGAACACCAGUGGCGAAGGCGACCACCUGGACUGAUACUGACACUGAGGUGCGAAAGCGUGGGGAGCAAACAGGAUUAGAUACCCGAGUAGUCCUGUUUCUUAUACA
RNAcentral lists this ribosomal RNA (301 nucleotides) under uncultured bacterium. RNAcentral's name for it is "partial 16S ribosomal RNA". It matches the Rfam family "Bacterial small subunit ribosomal RNA", at positions 509 to 808 of the family's 1533-position model. The record is from RNAcentral.